This 295-nucleotide long non-coding RNA is filed under the name Gallus gallus (chicken). Its description in RNAcentral is "long non-coding RNA NONGGAT004236". Lineage: Eukaryota; Metazoa; Chordata; Aves; Galliformes; Phasianidae. The record is from RNAcentral.
GGUAGUUGUCCAGCCCUCUAAUUUUUCAAGAUCUCAAGACGUAUGCACUGAAUGUGGACUGCUUAGUGCCUGGAAAAGGCUCUGUGGCACUUAGUGUGUCUGCCUCUGCUUCAGCUCUCAGAAGACUUCAUCUUAUGGGAACCGAUGAGUUUGUUCUCAAUCACUGAAACCAACGCUGGGAAUCUUGAGAUGGAAAACACAUGUCAAAAUCUGCCACUACGUCCUGCAUUCUUCAUUGAUUCAAGAAAGCCAGGUGGAUUCUACACUGCCUCACAGAUCAGAAGAAAAACAUGAG